AUGCCUCCCAGGCUCCUUCUGGGAGGCAGAGGCAGCAAAACCGUGAUCACCGGCCUUAAUACCAUCUAUGCUUGGACACCUAUUGGCUUCAACAUUACAAUGAGACCAGGCACAAAAACCCACAACGUGUCUUGGGAAUCCCCUGCCAAGGGCACCAUCAAUCUCCAGGAGCGCUCUAAUACUCUGUAUGUCAUCGGCUGUGGUGUGGAGGCAUUCUUGUACGAUCACGACACCGGCGAUACACUCGGCUCAUGCAUGAGUACAUGCACAUCCAACAUGGAGAAGGAAGCAGAAGGCUGCGAUGGCGUCGGCUGCUGCCGGAUCCGCAUCAAAAGGGAGUUGGGAGGCUUUCAGUUAACACUUGCCCGCCUCGACGACUUCGUCCAACAAUCAGAUGAGCUGCUGUCUCAUGUCAAGGUCUUCGUUUCAGAACUAGGGGAUUUUGGUUUUCGUACAAGUGAUCUUUUCUCAGGCUGGAUAAACACAAGCAGAUGGCACUAUGAGGAUGCGGAACUCCGGGGUUCUAUAACGGACCAGCCUAGCUGCCAAAUGGCAUACAAGAAUAAGGCCUAUGUUUGUACCGCCAACAGCGAUUGCCGCAAUGCAUCGCACGGCUACUAUUGCUGGUGCUCCGAAUAUUAUGAAGGCGGCAAUCCUUACGUUAUUGACGGUUGCAUCGAAGGUUACAAUCCAGUUCCUAAAAAGGAUUGCUCAAGAUCAUGUGGAAACACAAGCAUUCCUUUUCCUUUCGGGGUCGAAGAAGGUUGUUAUGCUCAUGAAAAGUUUGGGCUUAACUGUACAACGGAUAAUGUCACCGUACUUGAUCGGGGAGUAAUAAAAUAUCAUGUGUACAAUGUAUCAGUGGCCGAUGGUUAUUUAAGUGUAAGAAAUAUACCGAACGAUACAGCAUACAACUUCCAAGAGUUCAUGGUACCCACCAAAGAUGGUGAAGAAGCGAUGCAAGAUGGUGCCCGCAAUGAUAUAUUUGAGUUGUCUCAAGAAUAUGACAUGCAAAUGUGGUGGGCUGUUAGGAAUAUAACUUGUCAAAAAGCUAUGAAACAUAAAGCUACGUACGCAUGCCGCAGUGUCAACAGCAACUGCCUUCUUGUCAACCAUGGGAAAAAACAGCUUGGCUAUCGGUGCAAUUGUUCCCAAGGAUUUCAGGGAAAUCCGUAUAUUGAAGAUGGGUGCAAAGACAUCAACGAGUGCUUACUGCCAGAUUCUUGCAGCGGUAUAUGUCACAAUUUUGAUGGAGGUUACUAUUGCAUGAGUUGCCCACACGGAAAAGAAUUUGAUGCAACAAAAAGGAAGUGUGUUAUGUCAGUAAAGCAACGCAAUAUUCUUAUAGGAAUUGCAACUGGAAUAAGCUGUGGCUUUGGCUCAAUAAUUCUAGGGCUGAGUGCAAGUGUACUCGCUCAUAAGUGGAAGCAAAGCAUUCAGAAAAGUACUCGAAGAGCAUGGUUCAAGAAAAAUCAAGGCCUACUAUUGGAACAACUAAUUUCAGAUGAAUGCAGCACAAGCAAAACAAACAUAUUCACCUUGCAGGAACUUGAGGUGGCGACCAACAAUUUUGAUGCUACUCGUGUUCUUGGUUCUGGAGGACAUGGCACAGUUUACAAGGGGAUUCUAUGUGAUCAACGUGUGGUGGCCAUUAAAAAAUCCAAAAUUGAGAAGCAAGCUGAAAUAGACCAGUUUAUCAACGAAGUUGCUAUCUUGUCUCAAAUCAUACACCGCAACAUCGUGAAGCUAUUUGGUUGUUGUCUAGAAUCUGAAGUGCCCUUAUUGGUCUAUGAGUUCAUAUCUAAUGGCACGUUAUAUGAUCUUCUUCACACUGGUGUUGGGUGUUUGUUAUCAUGGGAAGAUCGUAUUAAGAUUGCAGUAGAGGCUGCAGGUGCUAUUGCUUAUCUCCACUCAGCUGCAGCAAUACCAAUUUUUCAUAGAGAUGUGAAGUCUUCCAACAUACUCCUAGAUGGCAGCUUCACCACAAAGGUGUCUGAUUUCGGUGCUUCAAGAUCUAUUUCUCUUGACGAGAGUCAUGUGGUGACUAAGGUCCAAGGCACGUUUGGUUACUUAGAUCCAGAGUAUUACCAUACCGGCCAACUAACUGAGAAAAGUGAUGUGUAUAGUUUUGGGGUGAUACUCGCGGAACUUCUCACAAGAAAGAAGCCGGUUUUUAAUGAUAAUUCAGGCAUAAAACAAAGUUUGUCUCAUUACUUCGUUGAAGGACUUCAAGAUGGAAUGCUUAUGGAAAUCAUCGAUCCUCAAGUUGUGGAAGAGGCAAACAAAGAAGAUAUUGGUGAAAUUGCCUCGCUUAUAGAAGUUUGCUUGCGUCUCAAAGGAGGAGAGAGACCUACUAUGAAAGAAGUAGAUAUGAGGCUGCAAUUCCUAAAGAGUGGGAGGCUAAGAAAGCUCCAAGCUUGCAGAGAUGAUGGAGAGAGCAAUUGUGUGAACGCUGUCAUUGUGAAAUCUGAAGGCAAUUCUGGGUGCUACAGUUUGGAGCAAGAGUUCCUGUUAUCGGCCAGUUUACAACGUUAA
Molecule: ribosomal RNA, 2535 nt
Filed under: Triticum aestivum (bread wheat)
Lineage: Eukaryota; Viridiplantae; Streptophyta; Magnoliopsida; Poales; Poaceae
Description: partial small subunit ribosomal RNA
Source: RNAcentral